UAUAGAUGUCCUUUUGCACUUAAAAAUACAUCCAGAAAAUUACUUCACAUCAGUUAAUAGAGCUCUUCCUUAUUCAUUUUACAGCUGUAUAUGGAGUACCCAGCAUUCUUAAGUGUCUAUACAUACAAACUGAUGAGAACGACUAAUUUAAUCAUUGAUUGCGAUGACUACUUAGAUUUGAAUCAAAACAAACUGCCACAUGACUUGCUGCCUGAAUUUUGAUCUCCUCCCUGGCUUCAUGAAUCAGGAUAGACGUCUCUAACUUAGUUUCACCCACAUGCUCUUGCUGGCAUUUAUCACUUUCUCCCUGUUAUUUCUUACUUGAGUUGGCUUCUGUUUCAUCUGUGAUCUUAUGUUUAAAUCUGAGUCACUAGUUUCUGGCUCAUGCAUUCUCUGUCUUGCCCCAGGCACCUUUCAUCAAUAUUGGCUUCGCUUUGGCAGCACCAUGACUCCCAGCUUGUGUGUCAGUUUCUCUGUAAACUCCACCUCCACCUCCACACCACCCCCUCAUCCCCCACCUCCCGCCGGCCAAGGUGGUCUUGCUUUUACCACGGUAUCUAGUCUAGCUGGGUCUAGUCCAGCUGACUCUACUCCAGAUUCUAUCUUUUGUCUCUGACUUCUCUACAGUAUUCACUCUUAACAAAAUACCUGGGAUACUGUCCAAUUUGCAGCAUAAGGCCAGGCUUUAAAAUUUAGCACAUUUUUAAAAAAGAAGCUUACUUCUUUUUGACUGUAUCUUUGCAAUGCUUUUACUCUAUUCAUUUAGGACGCUGUUAAAGCAGCUCCCUGAUGAAAUUCAUCCAUUAUGGUAAAUGUUUUCACUUCACGGAAACCUACUGAAAUGGAAAGUAUUUUGAAAAUAAAUGAAACAUUCACUAUUUUUGAAGACUAUGCAUGGCCAGAUUCAGCAAAUGUUGAUGGCUUGGAAAUUCCUGAUACUUUAAAGGGAAGAGGAAAAAAACUACAGUUCCAUGCUAGAAGGUUCUUAGCCUCGCACAUCUUACCUCAUUUUUACAGAUGCAGUAAUUAAGACCCUGAUUAAUUGUUCCAGGAAGUCUAACUCAUCUGAAAAGCAAACUUUCCAAUUAUCCAAAUAACCUUGAACACAUAAAUCAAAAUGCAGAAAUGAUAUUUCUACAUUUUGCUCUCUUCUCACUAAAAUGUUCUGAGAUCCUCUUCAUUGCCUCUUUCUGUUGACACACAUAACAGUUUAGACACCAAAAUUUGAGCUUUAGGAAAAGCAGGGGUCAGCCAUUAGACGAAAGAAGUGGAACACAUGUGCAGAGAAUAUUUGUGAUAAAACAAGCCAUUUCAUUAUCCACAUGCAGUUUGAGCCUUUCUACUACUUUCUCAUCUUUGGCAGAAAUCAAUUUGACUCUUUCACAUCAAUAGAACAUCUCCUGCAUGAACCCCUGAGGUGGGUAUAUAAAGGGUAUCUGAUUUUUUCAUUAAUACAAAGCUAUUAAAGCCAUAAAUAGGGCUUAACAGCAUUCAACGUUCAUUGCAGAAGGGCCUCUCCAGCAAAGCAGUACACAGAAAAAAGACAAUUUCCCAUUAAUUCUGGCAUUUAAAGGUGGGAAAUGAUCUGAAAAUUAUACCACGGAAAUGUAGGUUCUAAAGAUGAAAUGGCACAGUAGUGGUCAGGGCUGAAAAAUUCACUUUUUUUCAGAUCAGGUUUAAUUUUGCUCAUACUAUAAAUGCAUACACACAUAUUCGCUACUCUAAAAAUACACUGUGUAUAUUUACUUGCCACAGAUGUCUGAUGAGUCACUGCACAAUAUGUUUGGGAUAGGUGAAAAUGAUUUGAACAUCUAAUGGAAUAGCAACUAAAAUAAAUAUAGUAUUUUAAAAUAAAUUACAGAGGUUAAACAUCCUGAGGCAUUUUCAGGUUAACUCCGCCUAGUUGAAGAACAUGGUGCUCAGGGUCAUCUGUCUUUCUUCUCUGCAUUUCUCAGUGCUCAGGAUCCUCAUGUGAAACAUCAGGUGGCAGCUUGUCCUACCAAGUAGUGUCUGAAAUACCCCAUCUUCUUUCUGAAUGUUUCUUUGUUGAGACAAAAAGGAUAGAAGAAAACAGAAGACAGGCCACUGAAACAUGGAAGGAGGGCGAAAUUCUCCAAAGGAAUCCAAAGAAGAGAAGAGAAUUCUGUCACUGGAAAACAAACUCAAUAGGUCGCAUCUCUGGUUUGGAUAGUUUACAACAAUAACGGUUUCUACCAACAACCUUCAAUUUUAUCUUCUUUUGUGGAAUACCUUAUAACUUCCUUUAUGUGAACGAGCACAAGCAAUAAAUCUAAUAAAUUGCUCAUGCUCCCUAAAACCUAUUUGUGGCACUUGAAGGUUUUAUGAAUUUCUGUGAAAGUUUUC
Molecule: long non-coding RNA, 2364 nt
Organism: Equus caballus (horse)
Lineage: Eukaryota; Metazoa; Chordata; Mammalia; Perissodactyla; Equidae
Source: Ensembl